AAAGAACACACAUCAUGUUUGUCAUUGAUCACAAUAACAGUCGUCGUUGAUCACAAUCAUAGUCCUUGUUGAUCACAUUCUGGUCAUCGUAGAUUAAUUCGUAGCUGUCGUGGAUUACAUUAUGGUUGUCGUGGGUUAAAUCAUCGUUGUCGUGGAUUUUAUGGAAUUAAUAUGGAUUUAUCAUUUGGGGAUUACGUUAAUCUACGAAUGAAGACCAAAGACGACGUUUAAGUUUUGUGCAUGUGAUGCAGUGCUUUUGGCGGUUGAAACAUUUGCCUGAAAACGAUGAUACAUCUUAUAUUGUCGAAAACUUUGAUCAAACUGUCGUAUAAUGUAAGAUUAUCAUUGUACAAGGUAAAAUAUACAUGUCUGAUGUCGAUUUUUAAAAGUUUUUCGUUCUUUUGAUCACCAGGAUACACGUCCUAAGUUCAAGGAAAUAAGCAUGGGUUUCUUUGAGUUUUGGUCGUGUUUAUUAUCUCGUAUAUUAUACUUCUUAAAACUGAAUCAUAUGUAUAUUUAGUUAUGAAACUA
Xenia sp. Carnegie-2017 is the source of this 531-nucleotide long non-coding RNA. RefSeq lists it as uncharacterized. The record is from RefSeq and is a predicted model, not a curated record. The transcript is spliced from 2 exons. NCBI's taxonomy places the organism in Eukaryota, Metazoa, Cnidaria, Anthozoa, Malacalcyonacea, Xeniidae.